UACGAAGGGGGCUAGCGUUGCUCGGAAUGACUGGGCGUAAAGGGCGCGUAGGCGGUUUGUACAGUCAGGUGUUAAAUUCCCGGGCUCAACCUGGGGGCUGCACUUGAUACGUAGGAACUGGAGUGGGGAAGAGGGUCGUGGAAUUCCCAGUGUAGAGGUGAAAUUCGUAGAUAUUAGGAAGAACACCAGUGGCGAAGGCGGCUCACUGGCCCGGUACUGACGCUGAGGAGCGAAAGCCAGGGGAGCAAACGGG
This 253-nucleotide ribosomal RNA is filed under the name uncultured bacterium. Its description in RNAcentral is "partial 16S ribosomal RNA". It matches the Rfam family "Bacterial small subunit ribosomal RNA", at positions 524 to 776 of the family's 1533-position model. The record is from RNAcentral.